AGUGUUCAGGAUUCAAAGCGAGCAGCGGUGAGGCGGUCCAGAGGCAGGGAUGCCGCGGAGAAACCCCGAUGCCAGCAGCACAGUCAUCGCGGCGAACUUGGGCUGGAUUUCCUCAGGGGAAAAAAUAAUAAAAAGGAGGGAAUGGGAAAAAAACCAAUGAUAAUCCAGCUGCGGAGCGCUCAGGCUGUGCUGCGUGCAGCCCCUGCGCCCCGCGGUUUUUCCGCGGGUGGCCCCGCUGCCGUCAGCGCCGCGCUCCCCAACUCGGCCUCCUUCCUGCCCCGGCGGAGGCCAGAGCGUUGGCUGCACCAAAAAUCCCACCUUGCUGCAUUAUUAAAACUUCACGUCUUCCCGCAGGCUGCAAUUGGAAACGGGGAGCCGAGCGCUGGUGGCUCUGGCGGUGUUACGUUCAAAAUCGAUCUCCUUGCAAUUCGGCUGCUCUGUCAUUAGGCGUCAUUGUAAAGCUAUUUCUGCAG
This is a long non-coding RNA of Oxyura jamaicensis (ruddy duck), 473 nucleotides long. RefSeq lists it as uncharacterized. The record is from RefSeq and is a predicted model, not a curated record. Lineage: Eukaryota; Metazoa; Chordata; Aves; Anseriformes; Anatidae. The transcript is spliced from 2 exons.